RNAcentral lists this transfer RNA (82 nucleotides) under Ceratocystis platani. It matches the Rfam family "tRNA". Rfam says of the family: Transfer RNA (tRNA) molecules are approximately 80 nucleotides in length. Their secondary structure includes four short double-helical elements and three loops (D, anti-codon, and T loops). Further hydrogen bonds mediate the characteristic L-shaped molecular structure. tRNAs have two regions of fundamental functional importance: the anti-codon, which is responsible for specific mRNA codon recognition, and the 3' end, to which the tRNAs corresponding amino acid is attached (by aminoacyl-tRNA synthetases). tRNAs cope with the degeneracy of the genetic code in two manners: having more than one tRNA (with a specific anti-codon) for a particular amino acid; and 'wobble' base-pairing, i.e. permitting non-standard base-pairing at the 3rd anti-codon position. The record is from Rfam by way of RNAcentral. Lineage: Eukaryota; Fungi; Ascomycota; Sordariomycetes; Microascales; Ceratocystidaceae.
GGCCUUGUGGCCUAAUGGUUAAGGCGCUAGAUUUCGGCUACGGAUUCUCUAGAGAUUCGGGGUUCGAAUCCUCGCAGGGUCG